CGGAUCCGCAUUCAAGUCGCCAAACCCGCGUGACUGUCACAUUCGUUUUGGCGCCGCACAGGAGGAUCAGCUCCGCCUCCGGGCGGCGCCGUAAAUUCUACUGUCAAUCAGCGGAUCCUGAGCGGACCCAUGUCGCAUCCUUGGACGCGCACGCGCCUUUACUUUAAUGGUUGUAUCAAUUUGCGAGUCCCAAACUGACCCGCGCCGCGGAGGUAAGGUUUUAAUCGCGGAUGUGGAGCGGAUGUAGCGCGGAGCCACGGCGGGUCCGAGAUCCGCCUUCGUUGCAGAUCCGUCACUGAGCGCAAGUGGACGCCGAUACGGGUCCGUUCGCGGAUACGUUCCGGAAACCGGGAUACCUCCGCGGCCGAUCCGCCACGGAGUCCUUGCUGUGUGGAUCAUCACAGCAAUAGCAAACCACAACGAUCCAAUUCUGAUGAAUUCCAAUUAAUUCCUGAUGGACAAAAUGAAGUCCGAUCCUGCAUUUUAUUAUAGGCCUAUUUUGACCACUGAAAUGUGAAAUGACCCUGGUUUCCAUUUCAGAAGUCUGGUCACCUUGAAGACCGCAAGAAAUGGAAAUUGCGAUAGUCCCUAUUGGGACGUAUAUCUGAGUGAAACUGCUUCUUGAACAAGAAAAAAAAAAAUGUAUGGUAGGACUUGAAGAAAUUGAUUGGAUCGUUAGAUGCAUGGCUGUGUUUUGUUAUUGUUUUCAUGUGAGUGACAGGAGAAAUUGACAGAAGAAAUUUCGCUGCAAGAAGGAAGUUAUGUUGAUUAAAGAUUACAAGGACAUCCGUGCGUGAGGUGUAACUCUGGCGUAGUUUACGCAAGCGCCGGAAGUGAUCUCUCGUGUAUGCCACUCAUUGUUUACACAGUGCACAAACAUUGUAGGAGUGGUGACUUUCCACGUAUUCCCAACUUCUGAGCCUGCUCGCCUCAAGUUAUGGUUGAUUGCUCUUCGGCUGGAUAUCAACACACCCACUAACGCACUAAAGUUGUUGAGGGUCUGCAGCGAUCAUUUUUCCCCUGAUGAUUUUACAUACCCAGGAGAGGAUCACGUUCGACUUAAACAUCAGCUGUGCCUAUGGUUUUUCCACAUCCAACUGAGGCACCAUGUUUAAACUACGCCAGAGCGCGUACACACCUCACGCACCGGAUGUCGAGUGUGUGUCAAGUUGGACAUAGUGG
Molecule: long non-coding RNA, 1182 nt
Organism: Megalobrama amblycephala (Wuchang bream)
Lineage: Eukaryota; Metazoa; Chordata; Actinopteri; Cypriniformes; Xenocyprididae
Exons: 3
Source: RefSeq, a predicted model, not a curated record